GGGGAUGUAGCUCAAAUGGU
This 20-nucleotide non-coding RNA is filed under the name Arabidopsis thaliana (thale cress). Lineage: Eukaryota; Viridiplantae; Streptophyta; Magnoliopsida; Brassicales; Brassicaceae. The record is from RNAcentral.